RNAcentral lists this ribosomal RNA (448 nucleotides) under uncultured bacterium. RNAcentral's name for it is "partial 16S ribosomal RNA". It matches the Rfam family "Bacterial small subunit ribosomal RNA", at positions 29 to 523 of the family's 1533-position model. The record is from RNAcentral.
AACGAACGCUGGCGGCAUGCCUAGCACAUGCAAGUCGAACGAGAUCUUCGGGUCUAGUGGCGCACGGGUGCGUAACGCGUGGGAAUCUGCCCUUUGGUUCGGAAUAACAGUUGGAAACGACUGCUAAUACCGGAUGAUGACGAAAGUCCAAAGAUUUAUCGCCAGAGGAUGAGCCCGCGUAGGAUUAGCUAGUUGGUGUGGUAAAGGCGCACCAAGGCGACGAUCCUUAGCUGGUCUGAGAGGAUGAUCAGCCACACUGGGACUGAGACACGGCCCAGACUCCUACGGGAGGCAGCAGUGGGGAAUAUUGGACAAUGGCGAAAGCCUGAUCCAGCAAUGCCGCGUGAGUGAUGAAGGCCUUAGGGUUGUAAAGCUCUUUUACCCGGGAUUAUAAUGACAGUACCGGGAGAAUAAGCUCCGGCUAACUCCGUGCCAGCCGCCGCGGUAA